Molecule: ribosomal RNA, 420 nt
Filed under: uncultured bacterium
Lineage: Bacteria
Description: bacterial SSU rRNA
Rfam family: Bacterial small subunit ribosomal RNA
Source: RNAcentral
CGUGUCGUGAGAUGUUGGGUUAAGUCCCGCAACGAGCGGAACCCUUGAUCUUAGUUGCCAGCAUUCAGUUGGGCACUCUAAGGUGACUGCCGGUGACAAACCGGAGGAAGGUGGGGAUGACGUCAAAUCAUCAUGCCCCUUAUGACCUGGGCUACACACGUGCUACAAUGGACAGAACAAAGGGCAGCGAAACCGCGAGGUUAAGCCAAUCCCACAAAUCUGUUCUCAGUUCGGAUCGCAGUCUGCAACUCGACUGCGUGAAGCUGGAAUCGCUAGUAAUCGCGGAUCAGCAUGCCGCGGUGAAUACGUUCCCGGGCCUUGUACACACCGCCCGUCACACCACGAGAGUUUGUAACACCCGAAGUCGGUGAGGUAACCUUUUAGGAGCCAGCCGCCGAAGGUGGGACAGAUGAUUGGGGU